ACGUAGGUGGCAAGCGUUGUCCGGAAUUACUGGGUGUAAAGGGAGCGUAGGCGGGACAGCAAGUUGAAUGUGAAACCUAUGGGCUUAACCCAUAGUUGCGUUCAAAACUGUUGUUCUUGAGUGAAGUAGAGGCAGGCGGAAUUCCUAGUGUAGCGGUGAAAUGCGUAAAUAUUAGGAGGAACACCAGUGGCGAAGGCGGCCUGCUGGGCUUUAACUGACGCUGAGGCUCGAAAGCGUGGGUAGCAAACAG
This 250-nucleotide ribosomal RNA is filed under the name uncultured bacterium. RNAcentral's name for it is "partial 16S ribosomal RNA". It matches the Rfam family "Bacterial small subunit ribosomal RNA", at positions 525 to 775 of the family's 1533-position model. The record is from RNAcentral.